Molecule: ribosomal RNA, 232 nt
Filed under: uncultured bacterium
Lineage: Bacteria
Description: partial 16S ribosomal RNA
Rfam family: Bacterial small subunit ribosomal RNA (bases 82-232)
Source: RNAcentral
GCUUAACACCGAGAACAUACUGCUUAAAGGCAGAGCGGUGGCGAAGUGAAACGAGCCAUCACGCAUACAUAAAGUGAUUAUCAAGCAAAAUGUUUUGGGUGUUGAGCUUUGGAUAGUGGCGAACGGGUGAGUAACGCGUAGGCAAUCUGCCUUCUAGAUGGGGACAACAUCCCGAAAGGGGUGCUAAUACCGAAUGUUGUAAUUGGUUCGCAUGGACUAGCUACUAAAGGUG